RNAcentral lists this long non-coding RNA (249 nucleotides) under Lotus japonicus. RNAcentral's name for it is "long non-coding RNA (LJAP_LNC001012)". Lineage: Eukaryota; Viridiplantae; Streptophyta; Magnoliopsida; Fabales; Fabaceae. The record is from RNAcentral.
AAUCCCUACCCACCAUACCCAUCGUCACUCUAGAGGCCAAAUCGACACAAAGGCAAAUGACCCAUUUUUACUCCACAACCAUGCAGAUCUAAGAGAUUUGGGUUCUUAGGUGUUUUGGGUGGUGAAAUUCGCAGAUCUGAAAGAUGGAUGAUGAAAAAGAAGAGAUGAUGAACAGAGGGUGAAGUGUAGAUGAUCGAUGUGAAGGGUGAAGAAGAUGAAGGUUGAUGAAGGUUGGAUCUGGGGUCACGA